GGGCCCCACCGCGGCCUCCUGACGUGGCGAGCCGAAAGAUGCUGCAACCACGGACAGCGCCCAGAAGAUGCUAGGAUUAUGUGGCAUACAGAAGAGCCAGGGAGCAAGAAGAUGGCAGGGACCCUUCUGUGACAAGGAGAGACUCAACCACCUAUUGAAAGCAGGAAGAAGGUGAUGGGUUACAAAGCCUGAGUGAGCUGAGGCUUAGAUUCCAACGGACUUUGGCAGCAGAGUCAUUGGAAGCAUGACCUUGAAGGGGGCUGUGGAACCCUGGUCUCUUCCUGCUUCACUUUUCAUCCUGGAUCAUGAACUGAGGGUUUUUCUCCACCAUAAUGUG
Molecule: long non-coding RNA, 337 nt
Organism: Marmota flaviventris (yellow-bellied marmot)
Lineage: Eukaryota; Metazoa; Chordata; Mammalia; Rodentia; Sciuridae
Source: RefSeq, a predicted model, not a curated record